AUGAAAAUAAUUGCCUGGAAUUGCCGGGGGUUGGAGAAUGGCCCAGCAAUUAGUGGUCUUCUGGACGUCCAGAAGCAGGAGGACCCCGAUGUAUUAUUUUUAUUAGAGAAAAAGAUGGUGUGCGACAGGCUUGAAUGGCUGCAGUGGAAGUUGGGAAUGCCACACAUGCUAGUUAAAGAUCGAUCUGGUCAAGGAGGAGGGUUAGCUUUGUUCGGAAAAGGGAGGUUGAUUUAA
RNAcentral lists this ribosomal RNA (234 nucleotides) under Triticum aestivum (bread wheat). RNAcentral describes it as "partial small subunit ribosomal RNA". The record is from RNAcentral. Lineage: Eukaryota; Viridiplantae; Streptophyta; Magnoliopsida; Poales; Poaceae.